Microcebus murinus (gray mouse lemur) is the source of this 2590-nucleotide non-coding RNA. The record is from RefSeq and is a predicted model, not a curated record. Lineage: Eukaryota; Metazoa; Chordata; Mammalia; Primates; Cheirogaleidae.
CAGUUGCCCAAGGGCACGGGUUUGGGGACGUGGAACCGGGUCUGUCUGACUGUGCGACACUGGACCCCCACACUGGUUCCCAUUUCACAGGCUGGGCAAGCUGAGGUCACGUGCCUUGCCCUGGGCGAGCACGGUUAAUUCAGCAAAACCUCCAAGGCGAGAAGACUGGUUUUACCUGGCAAGGAUUCCAGGUGCAGAAGCUCCUUUCAUCAUCCAUAACCCUUUCCACACGGAUUUUCCAGGGACCCAGGGGCUGACCGGCUCCUGCACCAGCCCCAGCCCAGCCCCGUCUGCGAGGCUUGCUGAGGACGAGCAGGCCCCGCGGCCCUGUCUGCCAAAGUCCCGGCCACCAGGAAGGGCCUGGCAGCCCUGCCCUGCCCCGCGGGAGACGGCCUCCCAGCAGGUCGCCCAUAGCCUGAGAGGUGAGAGCGAGGGAAUCCAAGCCAGGCCCCCGCCCGCUCCAGCCCCGCCAGGUCUUGGCUUUAUGAGAGCACAGGGCUCAUAGAGGCUUCACAGACACAGGCCUGAGCUCACACUGUGUGAGGCUGGGCGAGCCGCUCACCUCCCUGUGCCUCAGUUUCCACACCCAGACCUUCUGAAGAGCUGGGAGGAGGAAGGGAGAUGGCAACAUCAACAGCCCAGCUUCAGCAGACUCUCCGGGGGCGGCUCAGAAACGCCAGCUCUGGACGUUUCUUCAGAACAUGGAGCUCAGACACAAUUGCAGCUCCAGGCUCACAUGCAGCAUGUGCAUUCUGGUACUGUCUGCUCACAAAGAAGACUGUCUCUGCCCACAUCCAUCAGACUGCCGGCCCUGCCAACAGUCCUCAGGUGCAGAGAGCCUUCAGGGCUGAGGAUUUCAGACUUGCUGCAAGCGAGGGACUGCGAUUAUCUCCCGUCGAUCCAUACUCCUACAGGACGUGUCCAUUGCAGUUGCCCGGCCUCUGUUCCACCACUGGAUGUUGCAUGUAUGCGGGGCGUGCACUUGUCUCUGUAGUUCAUAGGCCACCAGGUCGUGAGGAGCCACCUCUGCACCAGGUGCACAGGGUUCUGUGGCACUCGGAAGUCCUGGUCUUUACGCCGGAUGUGUAGACGGGCACUGGGGGUUGUUCCCCUCGGGGAGGGGGUGGCUGUCUUCUAUGUGCCGAAGGAAGAGUUUGAAAGCUAUUUGAUAACCAAAAAGGAGCUGGUUUAAGGGUUGGAUGUUUUAGCGACCAGUAUUGCCUAUACCGACUGAUACGCACGGUAAUAUUUAAAGAAGUGAUGUGUGAGCCUGGCAUGAGUGCAUCUGACAUCUGAGCCAAGACAAAAGGCUGGGCUAUUUGAUGACCAGAAAUGACCAGGAUGCAUGGGAAGAUGAUAAUUGCCAGCCCAGUUGUAGUCAGGUUGGGUCAUGUGACUGAAUUCUGGCCAGUCCUCUGCCUGGUCCUUAAAUAGUCCCGUGUAACCUUCCACUGUCUCUUUCUGUCUGGUCCAUGGGGCUGGAAGCAAAGGAGUCCACGGCAGUGGAGCCACACAGUAGAAGGAGCCAGAGCCUUGAGUCCCCGCUUGAAGAAGAGCCGUCCAGAGUGGAGAAGUUCAGAAGGUGCAUGUGCGUCUACGGUUUCAUACUGUUUCCCCAGAACCCUCACAGGCAGGAUGUUCAUUCUCUGCAAUGAGCACAUGAGGAAAAAGGAGCUCAGAGUCUCGAGGUAAGAAUACAGCUGGAAUCUCUGCUCUUCUACAGAUCGGGUUCCUCACCCCUGCCUCUACCCAGCGGCAACCAACCUCACACACAAAGUGUGAUCAUCAAAACUGUCUCCAGACAUUGGCAAAUGCCCCCGGAGAAAAGACCCACCCUGCACUGCUAUAUAGGUGGAUUAAUUCACAUGCCCAGGAAAGGGCUGGUCUCAAUUCCUAGUCUCCAACUCUUGGGGCGCAGUGUGGUUUAGAACCCAGAAUAGUGGGAGUUUUACAAAGGUAAAUGCAUGAUAUCCCAGCAGAGUCUGGGACAGCCUCCACCCCCGAGACAGGUCCAUUCCACCGAGGAACGGAUGCAUGUCUGCAGUAAGCAGGGUAAGCAAAGACGGCCACGGUCUCACGCCAGCGCCGGUCGGGCUUUGCUGCCAGGUUAAGUGUGCUACGAAACCACCAAAGAGCUGGCUUUGGGGGCUCUUGAGGAAGAGUCCACGGGCAAACUGCCACACACAGAGGCGGAGGGAUGUCCCCAAGGUCCCAUGACUGCUUCCAGGGACCAGGCUGUUUGGGGAGAGCCGGUCCACUUCCCAGGGCUCCACACUCGCCCCUCCUAACUGCCGAGGCCCCACGCCAGGGGAAGGAGGACGACACAGACUUGGGUCCUUGGCUCCAGCUGUGUCCCCCCUGCUCCCUCUGCCCCAGGCAGCUUCCCUCUGGACCCCCUGGGUCUCACUUUCCCCUUUUCAGGUCAUCUCAGUGUGUGACGAGUCUCCCCAGGUGGCUGAUUCACAAGAUGGUGAUCAGUGCAGUGGGAGACCCAGGGAUGUAAGAAACGUAAACGAAAGAGGAGAAAAAGACGCGAGCCCUCCCUCAGCCACAGCCUCAGCUGGAAGAACGGCUCCGGGAACUGUCCAGG